GAUAUUUUUGUUUAUCAGUUUAAAAAAAAAAAAAAAAAUCUACAGUCACACCACAGAUCUUUAAUAUUGAUCCACCUAACUUCUGUUUUGGAUGUUUAUUUUGCCUUUAUAAAGUACCAAUAAUAAAUUUCCCUGAACAUAGACAAGCACACCAGAGCAGGGAAUCCCAUAACUCCUCACUUACCGACCAAUUCAUUCUAUGACCGGGUCAUAGGGAUGGAGAGAGGGAAAAAUCAAAACAAAAAAGGAAAGACUGCACAGUUUUACAACUUUCAAGGCCCAGCAACAGAACCAUAGGUGGCUUUCCUUCUCCUCUCGUCCCACCACCUGUAAACUUGAUUCAAUACUUUCCCACCUUAUCAGAUCUCUCCCCCUUGUCUGGUAACAUCCUUAACACAUCCUAAACUCUUUCAUCUGGUGUACCUGCUCCCCUUUAGCAUGCUACGGUCAUACCCAUCCUAAAAAAAA
This is a non-coding RNA of Pelobates cultripes (western spadefoot toad), 468 nucleotides long. Lineage: Eukaryota; Metazoa; Chordata; Amphibia; Anura; Pelobatidae. The record is from the annotation of a GenBank genome assembly.